UACGUAGGGUGCAAGCGUUAAUCGGAAUUACUGGGCGUAAAGCGUGCGUAGGCGGUCCGCCAAGUCUGAUGUGAAAGCCCCGGGCUCAACCUGGGAACUGCAUUGGAAACUAACGGGCUCGAGUGUGGCAGAGGGGGGUGGAAUUCCACGUGUAGCAGUGAAAUGCGUAGAGAUGUGGAGGAACACCGAUGGCGAAGGCAGCCCCCUGGGCUAACACUGACGCUCAGGCACGAAAGCGUGGGGAGCAAACAGG
RNAcentral lists this ribosomal RNA (253 nucleotides) under uncultured bacterium. RNAcentral's name for it is "partial 16S ribosomal RNA". It matches the Rfam family "Bacterial small subunit ribosomal RNA", at positions 524 to 776 of the family's 1533-position model. The record is from RNAcentral.